UGAAACAGUGCAACCGUGCAGACAGCCCAGCC
RNAcentral lists this non-coding RNA (32 nucleotides) under Rattus norvegicus (Norway rat). Lineage: Eukaryota; Metazoa; Chordata; Mammalia; Rodentia; Muridae. The record is from RNAcentral.